GGGCAUUCACACUCCCUCCCCAGUCAUCCUAGGGAAUACAAACUCCUGUCUGUCUGCUACAUAGCUCAAGAGAAAGCUUCCAAAGAAAGAAACAAAUAGCAGCCAUUAGCAGCAACCUGAAAACUGAAGUUUGCUAUAAAACAUGGUUAUGUGGAGCCCACAGUAUCCUCAUACAUCUCAGGUUUCCAUGUCCCCUGACGGCACGGAGAGAUUGAUCUACACCAUCUAGUUUCACCAUAUUUCAGCUGGACUCUUCCUGCAGUGACAAUCAGGUGACCUGUCUCAGUUGACCUCAGGUGACCUGGAUGGCUGUGAAGACACACAAGGCAAUGAGGAAGCACAGGAACCUGCUAAGCAGCUACACAGGCCAGCCUGGAGGUGCCCAGGGAUGCCACUAAAGAAGUAACAGUAGCUUCCACUAGAAGAGGGACCUUUGGUCCCUUAUUCCUGGGACAAUCCCAUGCUCACAGUACACUUCUCUCUUCCUCUAACUCUCUGACUCUGCUUCUUAUCAUUUUAGCCGCUUGUUUCUUUCUAGUUCUACUAUGGCUCUGUAGAAUUAAAGUUUCUAACACUGGAAGUUGCCCAUGAAAUAUCACGGGUUGCAUCAGUGAGUCACCUCCUCUACAGGGCAGAAUUCAUACAUUAGGCUUCCACAGAGCCCUCCGGUAAAUCUAAAUCCAAAUCUCCUUUGACCAUGUUAUAGAUUCCUAACCAGUUCAAUCAUGGCCAAUUAUCAGGGUCACAUGACAGAAAGUGUGGCAAUAUACAUACAGAGAAUAGACUUUGCUAGUUUGCUCUAAAGGCAAAUUGCACAUACUUUGUUAUUACACCUAUAAUGAUAUAGUAUAAUUAUUUCUUCAUAGUCCAGUCCCCUCCACGGUGAUAGUCCUAAUGCUGCAACUAAAGAUGCUCCAGUGACAGCAUCUUCAUCUGGGCACCUCUGGCACAUAGCAUGGCACCUGGUACAUGGCAGACUCUCAUUAAAGACCUGUCAACGUCAAUUGAAAUAAAGGAAGAAUCAAAAAAUAUGAAUUAUGAUAUGAGGAUGCAGACGCAUAAUAGCAAUUGGUGGGGGGAGCA
Non-coding RNA from Ictidomys tridecemlineatus (thirteen-lined ground squirrel), 1083 nucleotides. The record is from RefSeq and is a predicted model, not a curated record. Lineage: Eukaryota; Metazoa; Chordata; Mammalia; Rodentia; Sciuridae.